RNAcentral lists this ribosomal RNA (497 nucleotides) under uncultured bacterium. Its description in RNAcentral is "partial 16S ribosomal RNA". It matches the Rfam family "Bacterial small subunit ribosomal RNA", at positions 28 to 507 of the family's 1533-position model. The record is from RNAcentral.
GAUGAACGCUGGCGGCGUGCCUAAUACAUGCAAGUCGAGCGAACAGACGAGGAGCUUGCUCCUCUGACGUUAGCGGCGGACGGGUGAGUAACACGUGGAUAACCUACCUAUAAGACUGGGAUAACUUCGGGAAACCGGAGCUAAUACCGGAUAAUAUAUUGAACCGCAUGGUUCAAUAGUGAAAGACGGUUUUGCUGUCACUUAUAGAUGGAUCCGCGCCGCAUUAGCUAGUUGGUAAGGUAACGGCUUACCAAGGCAACGCUGCGUAGCCGACCUGAGAGGGUGAUCGGCCACACUGGAACUGAGACACGGUCCAGACUCCUACGAGAGGCAGCAGUAGGGAAUCUUCCGCAAUGGGCGAAAGCCUGACGGAGCAACGCCGCGUGAGUGAUGAAGGUCUUCGGAUCGUAAAACUCUGUUAUUAGGGAAGAACAAAUGUGUAAGUAACUAUGCACGUCUUGACGGUACCUAAUCAGAAAGCCACGGCUAACUACGUG